UCCUGGUUAGCUGAGUUUGUAGAGCGCUCCACUGGAAAUGUAGAGGUCACUGGUUCGAUACCAGGACCAGGCG
This is a non-coding RNA of Ixodes scapularis (black-legged tick), 73 nucleotides long. The record is from Rfam. Lineage: Eukaryota; Metazoa; Arthropoda; Arachnida; Ixodida; Ixodidae.